RNAcentral lists this ribosomal RNA (1622 nucleotides) under Salmonella enterica subsp. enterica serovar Typhimurium. RNAcentral describes it as "partial 23S ribosomal RNA". It matches the Rfam family "Bacterial large subunit ribosomal RNA", at positions 352 to 1874 of the family's 2925-position model. The record is from RNAcentral. Lineage: Bacteria; Pseudomonadati; Pseudomonadota; Gammaproteobacteria; Enterobacterales; Enterobacteriaceae.
GCGCGAUACAGGGUGACAGCCCCGUACACAAAAGCGCAUGUGCUGUGAGCUCGAUGAGUAGGGCGGGACACGUGGUAUCCUGUCUGAAUAUGGGGGGACCAUCCUCCAAGGCUAAAUACUCCUGACUGACCGAUAGUGAACCAGUACCGUGAGGGAAAGGCGAAAAGAACCCCGGCGAGGGGAGUGAAAAAGAACCUGAAACCGUGUACGUACAAGCAGUGGGAGCACAGGUUUACCUGUGUGACUGCGUACCUUUUGUAUAAUGGGUCAGCGACUUAUAUUCUGUAGCAAGGUUAACCGUAUAGGGGAGCCGUAGGGAAACCGAGUCUUAACCGGGCGUUAAGUUGCAGGGUAUAGACCCGAAACCCGGUGAUCUAGCCAUGGGCAGGUUGAAGGUUGGGUAACACUAACUGGAGGACCGAACCGACUAAUGUUGAAAAAUUAGCGGAUGACCUGUGGCUGGGGGUGAAAGGCCAAUCAAACCGGGAGAUAGCUGGUUCUCCCCGAAAGCUAUUUAGGUAGCGCCUCGUGAAUUCAUCUCCGGGGGUAGAGCACUGUUUCGGCUAGGGGGCCAUCCCGGCUUACCAACCCGAUGCAAACUGCGAAUACCGGAGAAUGUUAUCACGGGAGACACACGGCGGGUGCUAACGUCCGUCGUGAAGAGGGAAACAACCCAGACCGCCAGCUAAGGUCCCAAAGUCAUGGUUAAGUGGGAAACGAUGUGGGAAGGCCCAGACAGCCAGGAUGUUGGCUUAGAAGCAGCCAUCAUUUAAAGAAAGCGUAAUAGCUCACUGGUCGAGUCGGCCUGCGCGGAAGAUGUAACGGGGCUAAACCAUGCACCGAAGCUGCGGCAGCGAACGUAUCACCCAAGACAACUUUACGGAGUUGACGAUUGACGGAGCGAAGCGACGUCAAAGCGUUCAUUAAAGUCGAGUUGGCUUAGGGAUACGUUCGUUGGGUAGGGGAGCGUUCUGUAAGCCUGUGAAGGUGUGUCGUGAGGCAUGCUGGAGGUAUCAGAAGUGCGAAUGCUGACAUAAGUAACGAUAAAGCGGGUGAAAAGCCCGCUCGCCGGAAGACCAAGGGUUCCUGUCCAACGUUAAUCGGGGCAGGGUGAGUCGACCCCUAAGGCGAGGCCGAAAGGCGUAGUCGAUGGGAAACGGGUUAAUAUUCCCGUACUUGGUGUUACUGCGAAGGGGGGACGGAGAAGGCUAUGUUGGCCGGGCGACGGUUGUCCCGGUUUAAGCGUGUAGGUGUGUGUUCCAGGUAAAUCCGGUUCACUUUAACACUGAGGCGUGACGACGAGGCACUACGGUGCUGAAGCAACAAAUGCCCUGCUUCCAGGAAAAGCCUCUAAGCAUCAGGUAACACGAAAUCGUACCCCAAACCGACACAGGUGGUCAGGUAGAGAAUACCAAGGCGCUUGAGAGAACUCGGGUGAAGGAACUAGGCAAAAUGGUGCCGUAACUUCGGGAGAAGGCACGCUGACACGUAGGUGAAGUGAUUUACUCAUGGAGCUGAAGUCAGUCGAAGAUACCAGCUGGCUGCAACUGUUUAUUAAAAACACAGCACUGUGCAAACACGAAAGUGGACGUAUACGGUGUGACGCCUGCCCGGUGCCGGAA